GCAGAUCCCUGUCCACAAGAGCCAGCACCGGUUAGCUUCAAUUCCAGCUUCAACUUCCAUAAAAAGAGUCUGGUGGCUACAUCCUGCUGCCCCUCUGCAGUCAGGAUAAUACAUGGAAAUCUGUUGUAAAACCGAUCCUCAGAAAAUCGAAUAAAAGCAGCAUCCUUCUCAACCAACAAUAUGAACAAUGCAUCACUCUGCACAUCAUUCUACAUCCAGAGAUUCCUGGCCAAAUGAAAAAAUUGCUAACCCUG
This 254-nucleotide long non-coding RNA is filed under the name Malus domestica (apple). Its description in RNAcentral is "long non-coding RNA (MDOM_LNC011428)". Lineage: Eukaryota; Viridiplantae; Streptophyta; Magnoliopsida; Rosales; Rosaceae. The record is from RNAcentral.